RNAcentral lists this ribosomal RNA (426 nucleotides) under uncultured bacterium. RNAcentral's name for it is "bacterial SSU rRNA". It matches the Rfam family "Bacterial small subunit ribosomal RNA", at positions 354 to 796 of the family's 1533-position model. The record is from RNAcentral.
GUAAGGGAUAUUGCACAAUGGGCGAAAGCCUGAUGCAGCAACGCCGCGUGGAGGAAGAAGGCCUUCGGGUCGUAAACUCCUUUUGACGCUGACGAGGAAGGACGGUAGGCGUCGAAUCAGUCACGGCUAACUACGUGCCAGCAGCCGCGGUAAAACGUAGGUGGCGAGCGUUAUCCGGAUUUACUGGGCGUAAAGGGUGUGCAGGCGGGGGUCCAAGUGGUGUAUGAAAUCGCCCGGCUUAACCGGGCUAGGUUAUGCCAGACUGGACUUCUAGAGUGCGAGAGAGGGACGUGGAAUUCCGGGUGUAGUGGUGAAAUGCGUAGAGAUCCGGAGGAACCCCAGAGGCGAAGGCGGCGUCCUGGCUCGCAACUGACGCUCAGACACGACAGCAUGGGGAGCGAACGGGAUUAGAAACCCGGGUAGUCC